CUAAGUUUGAUGGCGACCGGCGCACGGGUGAGUAACACGUAUCCAACCUGCCGAUGACUCGGGGAUAGCCUUUCGAAAGAAAGAUUAAUACCCGAUGGCAUAGUUCUUCCGCAUGGUAGAACUAUUAAAGGAUUUCGGUCAUCGAUGGGGAUGCGUUCCAUUAGGUUGUUGGCGGGGUAACGGCCCACCAAGCCCUCGAUGGAUAGGGGUUCUGAGAGGAAGGUCCCCCACAUUGGAACUGAGACACGGUCCAAACUCCUACGGGAGGCAGCAUG
RNAcentral lists this ribosomal RNA (275 nucleotides) under uncultured bacterium. Its description in RNAcentral is "partial 16S ribosomal RNA". It matches the Rfam family "Bacterial small subunit ribosomal RNA", at positions 79 to 353 of the family's 1533-position model. The record is from RNAcentral.